GACGAACGCUGGCGGCGUGCCUAAUACAUGCCAGUUGAGCGCUGAAGGUUGGUACUUGUACCAACUGGAUGAGCAGCGAACGGGUGAGUAACGCGUGGGGAAUCUGCCUUUGAGCGGGGGACAACAUUUGGAAACGAAUGCUAAUACCGCAUAAAAACUUUAAACACAAGUUUUAAGUUUGAAAGAUGCAAUUGCAUCACUCAAAGAUGAUCCCGCGUUGUAUUAGCUAGUUGGUGAGGUAAAGGCUCACCAAGGCGAUGAUACAUAGCCGACCUGAGAGGGUGAUCGGCCACAUUGGGACUGAGACACGGCCCAAACUCCUACGGGAGGCAGCAGUAGGGAAUCUUCGGCAAUGGACGAAAGUCUGACCGAGCAACGCCGCGUGAGUGAAGUAGGUUUUCGGAUCGUAAAACUCUGUUGGUAGAGAAGAACGUUGGUGAGAGUGGAAAGCUCAUCAAGUGACGGUAACUACCCAGAAAGGGACGGCUAACUACGUG
This 497-nucleotide ribosomal RNA is filed under the name uncultured bacterium. RNAcentral describes it as "partial 16S ribosomal RNA". It matches the Rfam family "Bacterial small subunit ribosomal RNA", at positions 28 to 507 of the family's 1533-position model. The record is from RNAcentral.